Long non-coding RNA from Serinus canaria (Common canary), 1274 nucleotides. The record is from Ensembl. Lineage: Eukaryota; Metazoa; Chordata; Aves; Passeriformes; Fringillidae.
GCCACACUGGGUUCACCCUGUUCUGUGGCACCACCUGUGAGUCUUAGACCAGCCCAAAAACCCUGCCACUCCCAAAGAUCAGCCAUCCAAAUGUCAAGGGACCUGGAAAACUGGAGAUAGUUGAAGGAGGGAGGUAUCUUCAGCCAGAAACCAGCCCAAGAGCAAAGGAGCAAAACCACCUCAGGCACCCACAUCUGAGACAUCCCUGAUCCCAGGCCACUCAAAGUAACAGUGCCUGGCACAUGUUCCAUCCUUCAGGGGAAUACCUGUCCUUCAAGCUACAAGACUCCUAUUUUUAUGUGAGUUGUACCAGUGAUUCUUACUCAUACUUCAGCAUCACCACAAAGCACAAGCCAGGACUGUACAAUCCUUUGCCACACAGGCACCAUCUCUAGAACAUUGUGCCACCAAGCAAGCUCUGCUCCACCAGCCCUGUGAUCAACCCCUGGAGAGCUCAGCAGAUCUUUUCUCCCUGACAGCCUUAGCCAAAUCACUUCUCCAGGCUUGCCAUUCUUCAGAACACUGUCAGGCUUUGCUGCCACCAAGCCACUAUUUCCAGAACACAGUGAAGUGCUUAUCACUUAAACCUUAAACACUACUUGCCUAGUAAUGAAAAUUGAAUUGAUUGGAGAGUAAACUUCUGCUAAGUGACUGGCAGAAUUCCAGCUCCAGUCCAUAAUGAUCAAAAUUCACUAAAAUAGCAUUUUUAAAUGUCUUUUGUUUGAAAACCAUACUAUACCCAGGUGUGGGGAGAUCUAGACACAAGGUAGUUAUUUUAAGUGUUUCUAGAAUUGAGCCCAAAAAAAUGUUUCUGAAUUAACAAUUGCUAAUUUGGGGUUGAAUGAAAUCUGUGUUAAUCUUAAAAAUGUCUACAUUAUUAAAAAUCAUAUUUGUCCCUCCUUUAAUUCAACUGCUUGUGUUGUCAGGUACCUCAAUCCCAAUCCCUCUUAGAAAUGUUUGCCUCAAGAGAAAGAUACUCACUUCCUCCUAACCUGGUGCUCAGGAUGGAGACUCUUCCACUGUCACUUUGAGAGAAUUUACUAUUGAUUGCCAAAGCUACUGUGUAACCUGAGGAACUUCCCUCACCUUCUAAAAGAGCAUUCUGAAUUUUCAGGACUUCAGAGAAAGUACUGCAGCUGAUUCCCUGUAUAUCCUGCUUGUUUACUGUGGGUGCUGAUGGAGCUGAGUAGAGAUGUUCAAUGCAAUGUUACUUGUGGGACAUUGGAAUACAUUGGAUAAUGAAAAGGAAAUAAAUACAAACUGAAUUCUUUGCA